CUGGUUAGAGAAAAGUCCUGGAAGCCUGAGUGAGCCCACGGUUUACAGCAUAGCUGAGCAACUGACUCACUCUGAAACCCAGGGUUGCAUCGUUUAACCUCACGGGGCUUGUUGUCCAUCCAGCUGGAAAAUGUGGAAAGAUGUGAGGCUGAACUGAAAAUCAUUUGUGGCCCUGCUGAUUUGCUGGACCACAGGGUACAGUUUGAGACUGCUGGGCUGACUGAGUUCCAGCCCCGUGGGCCAUGACUGGGAAAGGCACACCUUGCAAGAAGCAACGAGAGUUCAUGCUGGUGAGAGUCUCCUCUACAGGAGAGAAAAACCUCUCUGCAGAAUCAGCGGCUGAGGAUUUCUAGUCUCUGUCCCUGGCUGGUCUCUGUCAAUAAUCAGAUUUCCCUAAAUGGACCUUUAGUGGGUCUUAGUAGUAUCUAGAUCCCCAGCUUGCCAGCACAUGCUGACUGUGCUCGGCAGGAUAGGAAGACUGAAGCACACUGACCUGCGGCAACUGAAGACCAGCCGAGAGAGGAACUCCCCUAAGUACCUGGUUUCAAGUGGCUGUGGGUGUUUCCACUUUCUUCCUGCCACCGCUGUGUGCACAAGCUCCAGCUAGCCUGUUGUAUGAUGAGAAGUGCUUCAUCUGGACACCCAGCUGACAGCCUGCAAACUGCCAGCAUGCAAGUGAGGCCAUCCAAGACCAAGACUGCCACCCGACUGACUCAUGAGCAAGCCCAGUCGAGAUCAGACAGGCCUGGGCCACUUCAGCAGAACUUUCCAGCUGAUCUGUUGACUCGUGAGCGGUCAUAAAAGUUUACUAUCUUAAGUCAUUGGGUGUUAAGGUGGUUUGUCAUGAAGCAAUAGCCAACUGUUA
Long non-coding RNA from Budorcas taxicolor (takin), 865 nucleotides. RefSeq lists it as uncharacterized. The transcript has 3 exons. NCBI's taxonomy places the organism in Eukaryota, Metazoa, Chordata, Mammalia, Artiodactyla, Bovidae. The record is from RefSeq and is a predicted model, not a curated record.